GAAAUGCGAUAAGUAAUGUGAAUUGCAGAAUUCCGUGAAUCAUCAAAUCUUUGAACGCAAAUUGCACUCUUUGGUAUUCCGAGGAGUAUGCUUGUUUGAGGUAGUUCUAAUAAAGUCGGGUUUUUUUUAAAAAAACCCGGAUCUGAGUUUUCCGAGAUUUUUCGUAAUUUUGGUAACUUCAAAUUUAUUACGUCGUAUUUUUUGCCUAAUUCUACACCAAAUCAAGUAAGAAUACCCGCUGAACUUAA
Molecule: unclassified non-coding RNA, 248 nt
Filed under: uncultured Acaulosporaceae
Lineage: Eukaryota; Fungi; Glomeromycota; Glomeromycetes; Diversisporales; Acaulosporaceae
Description: sequence contains ITS1
Rfam family: 5.8S ribosomal RNA (bases 1-105)
Source: RNAcentral